This 492-nucleotide ribosomal RNA is filed under the name uncultured bacterium. Its description in RNAcentral is "partial 16S ribosomal RNA". It matches the Rfam family "Bacterial small subunit ribosomal RNA", at positions 29 to 507 of the family's 1533-position model. The record is from RNAcentral.
AGUGAGCGCUGGCGGUAGGCCUAACACAUGCAAGUCGAACGGCAGCACAGUAAGAGCUUGCUCUUACGGGUGGCGAGUGGCGGACGGGUGAGGAAUACAUCGGAAUCUACUUUUUCGUGGGGGAUAACGUAGGGAAACUUACGCUAAUACCGCAUACGACCUACGGGUGAAAGCAGGGGAUCUUCGGACCUUGCGCGAUUGAAUGAGCCGAUGUCGGAUUAGCUAGUUGGCGGGGUAAAGGCCCACCAAGGCGACGAUCCGUAGCUGGUCUGAGAGGAUGAUCAGCCACACUGGAACUGAGACACGGUCCAGACUCCUAAGGGAGGCAGCAGUGGGGAAUAUUGGACAAUGGGCGCAAGCCUGAUCCAGCCAUACCGCGUGGGUGAAGAAGGCCUUCGGGUUGUAAAGCCCUUUUGUUGGGAAAGAAAAGCAGCAGGUUAAUACCCCGCUGUUCUGACGGUACCCAAAGAAUAAGCACCGGCUAACUUCGUG